RNAcentral lists this small RNA (251 nucleotides) under Pongo abelii (Sumatran orangutan). Lineage: Eukaryota; Metazoa; Chordata; Mammalia; Primates; Hominidae. The record is from RNAcentral.
CCUGGGCACAGUGGCUCAUACCUGUAAUCCCAGCACUUUGGGAGGCUGAGGUAGGCGGAUCACCUGAGGUCAGGAGUUCGAGACCAGCCUGGCCAACAUGGUGAAACCCCGUCUCUACUAAAAAUACAAAAAUUUGUCGGGCGCGGUGGCUCAAGCCUGUAAUCCCAGCCCUUUGGGAAGCCAAGGCUGGUGGAUCACCUGAGGUCAGAAGUUCGAGACCGGCCUGGCCAACAUGGUGAAACCCCGUCUCU